This 445-nucleotide ribosomal RNA is filed under the name uncultured bacterium. RNAcentral describes it as "partial 16S ribosomal RNA". It matches the Rfam family "Bacterial small subunit ribosomal RNA", at positions 354 to 796 of the family's 1533-position model. The record is from RNAcentral.
GUAAGGAAUAUUGGACAAUGGACGCAAGUCUGAUCCAGCCAUGCCGCGUGAAGGAUUAAGGUCCUCUGGAUUGUAAACUUCUUUUAUAAGGGACGAAAAAAGGCUUUUCUAAGUCGUCUGACGGUACCUUAUGAAUAAGCACCGGCUAACUCCGUGCCAGCAGCCGCGGUAAUAAGGAGGGUGCAAGCGUUAUGCGGAUUCAUUGGUUUUAAAGGGUGCGUAGGCGGGCAGGUAAGUCAGUGGUGAAAUCCUAGAGCUUAACUCUAGAACUGCCAUUGAUACUAUCUGUCUUGAAUAUUGUGGAGGUAAGCGGAAUAUGUCAUGUAGCGGUGAAAUGCUUAGAUAUGACAUAGAACACCUAUUGCGAAGGCAGCUUACUACGCAUAUAUUGACGCUGAGGCACGAAAGCGUGGGGAUCAAACAGGAUUAGAAACCCUGGUAGUCC